AGAGUUUGAUCAUGGCUCAGAUUGAACGCUGGCGGCAGGCCUAACACAUGCAAGUCGAACGGUAACAGAAAGCAGCUUGCUGCUUUGCUGACGAGUGGCGGACGGGUGAGUAAUGUCUGGGAAACUGCCUGAUGGAGGGGGAUAACUACUGGAAACGGUAGCUAAUACCGCAUAACGUCGCAAGACCAAAGAGGGGGACCUUAGGGCCUCUUGCCAUCGGAUGCCCAGAUGGGAUUAGCUAGUAGGUGGGGUAACGGCUCACCUAGGCGACGAUCCCUAGCUGGUCUGAGAGGAUGACCAGCCACACUGGAACUGAGACACGGUCCAGACUCCUACGGGAGGCAGCAGUGGGGAAUAUUGCACAAUGGGCGCAAGCCUGAUGCAGCCAUGCCGCGUGUAUGAAGAAGGCCUUCGGGUUGUAAAGUACUUUCAGCGGGGAGGAAGGGAGUAAAGUUAAUACCUUUGCUCAUUGACGUUACCCGCAGAAGAAGCACCGGCUAACUCCGUGCCAGCAGCCGCGGUAAUACGGAGGGUGCAAGCGUUAAUCGGAAUUACUGGGCGUAAAGCGCACGCAGGCGGUUUGUUAAGUCAGAUGUGAAAUCCCCGGGCUCAACCUGGGAACUGCAUCUGAUACUGGCAAGCUUGAGUCUCGUAGAGGGGGGUAGAAUUCCAGGUGUAGCGGUGAAAUGCGUAGAGAUCUGGAGGAAUACC
This 711-nucleotide ribosomal RNA is filed under the name uncultured bacterium. Its description in RNAcentral is "bacterial SSU rRNA". It matches the Rfam family "Bacterial small subunit ribosomal RNA", at positions 8 to 710 of the family's 1533-position model. The record is from RNAcentral.